RNAcentral lists this ribosomal RNA (528 nucleotides) under uncultured bacterium. Its description in RNAcentral is "bacterial SSU rRNA". It matches the Rfam family "Bacterial small subunit ribosomal RNA", at positions 980 to 1509 of the family's 1533-position model. The record is from RNAcentral.
CUUGACAUCCAGCGAACUUCCAGAGAUGGAUUGGUGCCUUCGGGAACGCUGAGACAGGUGCUGCAUGGCUGUCGUCAGCUCGUGUUGUGAAAUGUUGGGUUAAGUCCCGCAACGAGCGCAACCCUUAUCCUUUGUUGCCAGCGAUUCGGUCGGGAACUCAAAGGAGACUGCCGGUGAUAAACCGGAGGAAGGUGGGGAUGACGUCAAGUCAUCAUGGCCCUUACGAGUAGGGCUACACACGUGCUACAAUGGCGCAUACAAAGAGAAGCGACCUCGCGAGAGCAAGCGGACCUCAUAAAGUGCGUCGUAGUCCGGAUCGGAGUCUGCAACUCGACUCCGUGAAGUCGGAAUCGCUAGUAAUCGUGGAUCAGAAUGCCACGGUGAAUACGUUCCCGGGCCUUGUACACACCGCCCGUCACACCAUGGGAGUGGGUUGCAAAAGAAGUAGGUAGCUUAACCUUCGGGAGGGCGCUUACCACUUUGUGAUUCAUGACUGGGGUGAAGUCGUAACAAGGUAGGCGUAGCGAG